UACAGAGGGUGCGAGCGUUAAUCGGAAUUACUGGGCGUAAAGCGUGCGCAGACGGUCAUGUAAGUCGGGUGUGAAAGCCCCGGGCUCAACCUGGGAAUUGCAUUCGAGACUGUGUGGCUAGGGUGCGGAAGAGGGAAGCGGAAUUUCCGGUGUAGCGGUGAAAUGCGUAGAUACCGGAAGGAACACCAGUGGCGAAAGCGGCUUCCUGGUCCAGCACCGACGUUCAGGCACGAAAGCGUGGGGAGCAAACAGG
This 253-nucleotide ribosomal RNA is filed under the name uncultured bacterium. RNAcentral describes it as "partial 16S ribosomal RNA". It matches the Rfam family "Bacterial small subunit ribosomal RNA", at positions 524 to 776 of the family's 1533-position model. The record is from RNAcentral.